UCCGGUUGAUCCUGCCGGACCCGACUGCUAUCAGAGUGGGACUAAGCCAUGCGAGUCAACAUAGCAAUAUGUGGCAUACGGCUCAGUAACACGUAGUCAACAUGCCCAGGGGACGUGGAUAACCUCGGGAAACUGAGGAUAAACCGCGAUAAGUCACUGCUUCUGGAAUGGGCAAUGACUUAAAUCUAUAUGGCCCCUGGAUUGGACUGCGGCCGAUCAGGCUGUUGGUGAGGUAAUGGCCCACCAAACCUGUAACCGGUACGGGCUCUGAGAGGAGGAGCCCGGAGAUGGGCACUGAGACAAGGGCCCAGGCCCUAUGGGGCGCAGCAGGCGCGAAACCUCUGCAAUAGGCGAAAGCCUGACAGGGUUACUCUGAGUGAUUUCCGUUAAGGAGAUCUUUUGGCACCUCUAAAAAUGGUGCAGAAUAAGGGGUGGGCAAGUCUGGUGUCAGCCGCCGCGGUAAUACCAGCACCCCGAGUGGUCGGGACGUUUAUUGGGCCUAAAGCAUCCGUAGCCGGUUCUGCAAGUCUUCCGUUAAAUCCACCUGCUUAACAGAUGGGCUGCGGAAGAUACUAUAGAGCUAGGAGGCGGGAGAGGCAAGCGGUACUCGAUGGGUAGGGGUAAAAUCCGUUGAUCCAUUGAAGACCACCAGUGGCGAAGGCGGCUUGCCAGAACGCGCUCGACGGUGAGGGAUGAAAGCUGGGGGAGCAAACCGGAUUAGAUACCCGGGUAGUCCCAGCUGUAAACGAUGCAGACUCGGUGAUGAAUUGGCUUUAUGCCAAUUCAGUGCCGCAGGGAAGCCGUUAAGUUUGCCGCCUGGGGAGUACGGUCGCAAGACUGAAACUUAAAGGAAUUGGCGGGGGAGCACCACAAGGGGUGAAGCCUGCGGUUCAAUUGGAGCAACGCCGGAAAUCUUACCGGGGGCGACAGCAGAAUGAAGGUCAAGCUGAAGACUUUACCAGACAAGCUGAGAGGAGGUGCAUGGCCGUCGCCAGCUCGUGCCGUGAGGUGUCCUGUUAAGUCAGGUAACGAGCGAGACCCCUGCCUCUAGUUGCUACCAUUAUUCUCAGGAGUAGUGGAGCUAAUUAGAGGGACUGCCGUCGCUGAGACGGAGGAAGGAGGGGGCUACGGCAGGUCAGUAUGCCCCGAAACCCUCGGGCCACACGCGGGCUGCAAUGGUAAGGACAAUGAGUAUCGAUUCCGAAAGGAGGAGGCAAUCUCUAAACCUUACCACAGUUAUGAUUGAGGGCUGAAACUCGCCCUCAUGAAUAUGGAAUCCCUAGUAACCGCGUGUCACUAUCGCGCGGUGAAUACGUCCCUGCUCCUUGCACACACCGCCCGUCGCUUCAUCGAAGUUGGUUCUUGGCGAGGUGAUGCCUAAUUGGUACUAUCGAACCUGGGGUCAGCAACGAGGGAGA
Molecule: ribosomal RNA, 1418 nt
Filed under: metagenome
Description: bacterial SSU rRNA
Rfam family: Archaeal small subunit ribosomal RNA
Source: RNAcentral